AAGGAAAUGAGAUCUUGGCCCCUGAGAUCUCUGCCCCUGUGUUCUGGAGCAGAGGCUGGAGAUGCUGUAAGAUCACUCUCCAUCCAGCAGAUGAGACAAAACCUCAGGGUAGUGUAUGUUCCAAUCAGAAGGUGCCAUGUGGUUUUGAAGGAUCCAUUAGGGGAGCUGCCACGGAAUCGAUUCAGCCGCCUGCCAAACAUCUGGUACAACUGGGUCAUCUGGGAUGGGCGAGAAACAUUGUCAUUUACAUCCAAGGGUUUGAUGGCCAGGAGGACUGUGCCGAGAGCCAGGACAAGCUCAUCUUCCAUGGGGUUUCCCCGACUGUGGAGAAGAAGGUCUCACAUGCAUGUGGACACUGGGGAAGUCAGAUGUUUCCUUCAGGGCCACUGGCUGUCAGCGUGGUGCUGCUUUCCAUAAGAUUGACCUCAAGACCCACCAGCGCUGCAUUCCAAGGCCAAUACUAUGCCUUUGCUGAGGCCAAGAGAGAAUCCCCCACGAGCUUUGGUAUAAGCAGCUUCUCUCUGUUCUGCCCUAGAGUUUCCAUUAGGAACCAUCUCAGAUCCAAGUGUCGCCCAUAUGGGAAACGGAAGGGCAGAGGCUGGGGGGUCCUCUCAAAUGGGGAAUGAGGAAGCCUCAGAGGAUAGAGGGGAGGCCUACAGCAUCUGAUCCCUCUCUUCCUUCUACCCACUGGAAAAGAAGAUCCUUUGUUAAUGGAUGAAACCUUAAUAGCCCCAAGGCUGCAGUUAAGCAAGACAUGGGAUGGAGUACAAGGUCUAACAAAAACCCUGCUCACUACUGCUUUCCCCAGACCGAAGGCUAAACCCGUGCAGGAUGGCUUGGUGAAUCAUCUGCUGCCAGCCCCUUCAGAAUGGCCCUCCAUUCUGCUCUCUGCUCUUUACACAUAAUCAGGAGAGAGUGCUGGGAUCCAGAGUUGCCCUUGAAGAGAGGGAUGGAAAUGUGGCUCAGACGUGGGAGGGGGUGACCAAAAGAGAAAGCCUGGACUCCUCACCUGCCCUCUGGGAGAUCAGAUCUCUCCAAGAGGAGCCCCUGGAUUUGGAAAGUGCUCAGGAAGGCAGUAUUGAGCACCAAACCACCCAGAACCCUCCACCUGCUAGCAGCAGCUAGGCCAAACUCUUGGGUUUGAAGAGUGAGAGUGCUGAGCACCAGGCUGCUCUCUGGCUUCGGAACCUCCCCACUGGGCCACAGAUAAUCCCUCAGCAGGCACUGUUGGAGGCCAUACCCUUGUCCCAGCACCAGAGCUCCAGGAAGACCAGGACAUGAGGCAUAAAUUCACGGUGCUUCAUCUCCCUGCUGGGGGACUGAAGAUCACGACCAUUAAUGGCCUUCUCAUCUCAACCUCAGAAAUAAACCUUUCCUCACGGGAGAGAGUGAAUGCCAGUUGAGACCUCACUAAUAUAAAGACACGGCUGCUCACAAAUGUUCCACUGUGAAUCCCUCAGGAGUCCUGAAAUUGGUGGUAGGAUCUCCAUUUUACAGGUGAGGUGACUGAGGUUGAGAAUGAAGAAAGCCAGGCACCCGUGCAGUCUUACAAGGUAUUGUAGCUAAAAGUGGAGUCUGGAGCCACAUACGGGCUCUGCAGCUUUCUAGCUAUGCGACCUUGGGUAACGUCUCAGUCUAGUUUCUGCCAAAUGGAAAUGAUAGUACCUCAUAGGGUUGUGAAGAUUAACCAGUUUAUAGGCAGCAUAUUGAACACAGCAGUACCUUAGCACAGAAUGUGAGCUACAUAUGCUUCAUGUAUUUACUACUACAAUCAUGAUCAAUGUCUGAACUAAGUUUAAGAUACUAUAGGCAAGCAAAACUAACUUCUCUUUCCCUUUCUCCUGUCUCCCAAUGUAGAUGCAACAACAUUUUCCUCACUUCCUGGAAAUGGCUCCGUUCUAGCAUUUCAACAUUAUCCAGGAAGUAAGAUUUCUUUACUGGAGAAUACCAGAUACAUUCCCAAUCUGUUGAUCACAUUUAGAGACCUGAAUUUCCUAAACCCAUCUUAAACUGAUGGCAGAAAGCAGUGAUGAUUAAGUCAGAGCAUCUCAAAGAGUCUGAGUGUUGAAUCUUCCAAAGUGUUCGAAUCUGUGGUAAGGGAAAUGAAGCAAAAGGCUGGAGAAUGGCACAAUCUUGGCUCACCACAACCUCCGCCUUCUGAGUUCAA
This is a long non-coding RNA of Rhinopithecus roxellana (golden snub-nosed monkey), 2167 nucleotides long. RefSeq lists it as uncharacterized. NCBI's taxonomy places the organism in Eukaryota, Metazoa, Chordata, Mammalia, Primates, Cercopithecidae. The record is from RefSeq and is a predicted model, not a curated record. The transcript is spliced from 5 exons.